GGCUAGAGUGUGUCAGAGGAGGUGGAAUUCCGCGUGCUCAGCAGUGAAAUGCGUAGAUAUGCGGAGGAACACCGAUGGCGAAGGCAGCCUCCUGGGAUAACACUGACGCUCCUUUUUAGCGGUAGAAGACAAACAAGUUAGAUACCCUGGUAGUCCACGCCCUAAACGAUGUCAACUGGCUGUUGGGGCCUUCGGGCCUUAAGUAGCGCAGCUAACGCGUGAAGUUGACCGCCUGGGAAGUACGGUCGCAAGAUUAAAACUCAAAAGGAAUUGACGGGGACCCGCACAAGCGGUGGAUGAUGUGGAUUAAUUCGGUAUGCAAAACCUUACCUACCCUUGUUAUGUCUGGAAUACAGAUUUGGCGAGAAGUGCUCGCCGAAACCGGAACACAGGUACCAUGGCUGUCGUCAGCUCGUGUCGUGAGAUGUUAGGUUAAGUCCUUUAACGAGCGCAACCCUUAUCGUGAAUUUGCUACGGGCACUCUAAUGAGACUGCCGGUGACAAACCGGAGGAAGGUGGGGAUGACGUCAAGUCCUCAUAGCCCUUAUGGGUAGGGCUUCACACGUCAUACAAUGGUCGGGACAGAGGGUCGCCAACCCGCGAGGGGGAGCCAAUCUAUGAAACGAUCGUAGUCGGAUCGCAGUCUGCAACUCGACUGCACGGCGCAAGUCGGAAUCGCUGGUAAUCGCGGAUCAGCAUGUCGCGGUGAAUACCGUCCCCGGAUGUGUACACACCGCCCGUCACACCAUGGGAGUGGGUUUUACCAGAAGUAGUUAGCCUAACCGCAAGAAGCGAUUACCACGGUAGGAUUCAUGACUGGGGUGAAGUCGUAACAAGGUAG
Molecule: unclassified non-coding RNA, 841 nt
Filed under: uncultured Bordetella sp.
Lineage: Bacteria; Pseudomonadati; Pseudomonadota; Betaproteobacteria; Burkholderiales; Alcaligenaceae
Description: partial 16S-23S ribosomal RNA intergenic spacer
Rfam family: Bacterial small subunit ribosomal RNA
Source: RNAcentral